Long non-coding RNA from Peromyscus eremicus (cactus mouse), 1206 nucleotides. RefSeq lists it as uncharacterized. The transcript has 2 exons. The record is from RefSeq and is a predicted model, not a curated record. NCBI's taxonomy places the organism in Eukaryota, Metazoa, Chordata, Mammalia, Rodentia, Cricetidae.
UACAGAGCUACUACAUAGAUAGUUCUCUCUCUCUUUCAAGAUGGGGUCUAGACAUGUAAUCCUGGCUUACCUGAAACCCUGAAACUGACCUUGAACAUGGAGUGAUCCUCUUGCCUCCUCUGCCUCCUGGAAUGCUGUGGUUAAAGGCUAUCUCAUCGGAGAAAAUCUGGCCUCUGCUCACUUUCCCACCUGGCCUCAGAAGAGCUCACCUGUCUGUCUAUCUUCACAUGAAGCCUGAUGGCCCUUCGUGGACAGCAUGCUCAUGUGCACUCCGUAUUCGUCUCUAACACAAGGACAUAACUCACUUUCCUAGGACUGUCUGCCAUCUUCCUGCCUGGUACCUGCUAGGUCUUUUAUCCGUGAUCGCCACCUGGUUGCUGAUUCCUAGGCUCCUUGGUCCGGGAGUUCCCUGGUCAGUUUGGUCUCUGGGGAGCCCUGCCCUACAGCAAUUUUUUGUUACAGUGUUUGAUGAACCAUGUUCUCUGCCAUUUCUGAUCAGCCCCUGGGGAGAGAAGCAUCCAGUCAGAGCAGGGAGGCUGGCAUUGCUCAGGCCCGGGAGAAGGAAGCUUCACUACUGCCUGCAGCCUGCUCCAGGUGGCCGGUCAAGCCUGACUCAGACUGUGGAGGAGCCACAGUGGAAACUUACCAGCCUCAGAUGGAGGGUGUGGGGGUGCUGAGAGGGCAGGCAGACGUGGCCUCCCAGUCGUGCCCAAAGGGCAGAGCAAGGAGAGGAGGCCAGCUGGUGCCCCUCCCGAGCAAGCUCCGCCCUCCCUCUCCCCCAGGAAUCCAGGUCGGAUCCAGAGCUGGGAUCAAACAAAGCACUUAAGGAGGAAGUGUGAACUUUGGACUCGGUGACACACUUCAUCUGGGGCAAAUCAACUGCCACCCCUGGAGGCCCUUGUCCUUCCCAGGACAGGACUGCCCGGCCCUGGUCGUCUAGUCCUCACACUGACCCCAAUUCAUCUGCACAGCCACAUUCCUCUACCCUCCCUCCUCCAGCCAGAUGCUGUCUCUAAGUGGGUGUCGGAAGGCAAUAGACUGGGGAGGGGUAGGCAGAGCCCUGUUGUGGAAGUCAGGGGACCUGGGGUGUGGCUACUACCAGCUGGUGAGGGACUCCCACCCACUCUGAACUCUGUCUCCUGGCAGCUGGGCUCCAUAUCCUUGGGGUUUCUCACCUAUAGAGGUUUUUUUUUUUUUUUUUUUUUU